UACGGAGGGUGCGAGCGUUGUCCGGAAUCACUGGGCGUAAAGGGCGCGUAGGCGGCCUGAUAAGUAGGGGGUGAAAUCCUGCGGCUUAACCGCAGGGCUGCCUUCUAAACUGUCAGGCUAGAGCACGGUAGAGGCAGAUGGAAUUCCCGGUGUAGCGGUGGAAUGCGUAGAGAUCGGGAAGAACAUCAGUGGCGAAGGCGGUCUGCUGGGCCGUUGCUGACGCUGAGGCGCGACAGCGUGGGGAGCAAACAGG
This 253-nucleotide ribosomal RNA is filed under the name uncultured bacterium. RNAcentral describes it as "partial 16S ribosomal RNA". It matches the Rfam family "Bacterial small subunit ribosomal RNA", at positions 524 to 776 of the family's 1533-position model. The record is from RNAcentral.